Molecule: long non-coding RNA, 1097 nt
Filed under: Papio anubis (olive baboon)
Lineage: Eukaryota; Metazoa; Chordata; Mammalia; Primates; Cercopithecidae
Description: lncRNA (ENSPANG00000039095.1)
Source: RNAcentral
UGGGUACUUAAACUGUCUUUUCCUAAAACUCAGCUUUCUUACCCAUUGUAAAGUCAUAUUUUUACAGGGGUAAUUUUAAUAUCUCAUGGAGUUAGUGUGAGGAUUUUAUAGAAAAAUAUAUCUCUUUCUUAUUCAGCGAUAUUUAUUGAGUCUCUACCAUGUCCUAGAUGCUAAUUCCCAAAUAAUAUUGAUAAGAACCUCUAGAUGGGGAUUUCAUGUCUGUCUGGUGCUGUCAUUCAUUUUUAACAAACAUGUAUUACUUGUAUCUCUCUCUCUCUCUCUCUCUCUCUCUCUCUCUCUCGUUUUCAGAUGGGGUCUCACUCUGUUGCCCAGGCUAGAGUGUAGUGGUGCAAUCUCGGCUCACUGCAACCUCCACCUUCCAGGUUCAAGCAAUUCUCCUACCUCAGCCUCCCGAGGACAGGCAUGCACCAUCAUUUUUGUAUUUUUCAUAGAGACGGGGUUUCACCAUUUUGCCAGGCUGGUCUCGGACUCCUUACCUCAGGUGCCUUGUGUGUCAUGGUCCUGCAAGUUCUGACUCCCAGCAAUCUGGAAACCGCUCCACAAAAUCUAUAUUUCUUCCAGAUAUUUUGGUAGAUUUCUCUGGUCACUUGUUUGGAAGUAAGAAGAAAGGUUAGCUAGUACAUAACAUUGGAGCAACCCAGACAAACGGCUUGAAGCUUCAUUGCCUCCUCAGUAAACUAGAGGUAUGAUUGUGCUGUGCUUGUCUCACAAAAUACUGAGAUAACAGUUUAGAUUAUCUAUCUCCUCCUCCCCAGCUUUAUUUGUGUUUAAUUGACAAAUAAACUCUUUAUUAUUAUUGUUCAUUUUUGUAGAGACAGGGUCUUUCUAUGUUGUCUCAGCCUCCCAAAGUGCUAGGAUUACAAGCGUGAGCCACCGCACUCAGCCAAUACUGUACUUUUGGUCCACGGUUUGUUGAAUCCACAGAUACGGAACCUGAGGACAUGAAGGGCCGAGGGUACUGACUGAUCUCACAUAUAAGUUCCUGAUGUCAGUGAGAAAACUUCGCUUUUCUCAUCAUUAAGUGGAUGUUUGUUGUAGGUUUUAGUAAAUAUUAUUGAUCACAUUGUGGAUGUCCC